UAAUACGGAGAGGGCAAGCGUUGUUCGGAUUUACUGGGCAUAAAGAGCACGUAGGCGGACCUACAAGUCAGUUGUGAAAUCCCGGGGCUCAACCCCGGAACUGCAUCCGAUACUAUAGGUCUAGAGGAUGAAAGAGGAGAGUGGAACUUCUGGUGGAGCGGUGAAAUGCGUAGAUAUCAGAAGGAACACCGGUGGCGAAAGCGACUCUCUGGUUCAUAUCUGACGCUGAGGUGCGAAAGCUAGGGGAGCAAACGGGAUUAGAUACCCCGGUAGUCCUAGCCGUAAACGAUGGGCACUAAGUAGGGGAGGUUCUGACACCUUCCCUGCCGGAGCUAACGUAUUAAGUGCCCCGCCUGGGGAGUAUGGUCGCAAGGCUA
RNAcentral lists this ribosomal RNA (377 nucleotides) under uncultured bacterium. RNAcentral describes it as "bacterial SSU rRNA". It matches the Rfam family "Bacterial small subunit ribosomal RNA", at positions 521 to 896 of the family's 1533-position model. The record is from RNAcentral.